Molecule: ribosomal RNA, 451 nt
Filed under: uncultured delta proteobacterium
Lineage: Bacteria; Deltaproteobacteria
Description: bacterial SSU rRNA
Rfam family: Bacterial small subunit ribosomal RNA
Source: RNAcentral
AAACCCUGACCCAGCGACGCCGCGUGAGGGAUGAAGUCUUUCGGGACGUAAACCUCUGUUGUACGGGAAGAAUAAAUUGACGGUACCGUACGAGGAAGGCCCGGCAAAUACGUGCCAGCAGCCGCGGUAAUACGUAGGGGCCAAGCGUUGUCCGGAAUUACUGGGCGUAAAGAGCACGUAGGCGGAUCGUUAAGUCGACUGUGAAAGUCCUGGGCUCAACCCGGGAAUUGCAGUUGAUACUGGCGGACUAGAGUACUGGAGAGGGAAGUGGAAUUCCCGGUGUAGCGGUGAAAUGCGCAGAUAUCGGGAGGAACACCAGUGGCGAAGGCGGCUUCCUGGCCAGUAACUGACGCUGAGGUGCGAAAGCUGGGGGAGCGAACCGGAUUAGAUACCCGGGUAGUCCCAGCBGUAAACGAUGAAUGCUAGGUGUUGCAGUGCGAGCUGUGAGUGC